GGGUGGGAUAUUUUCUUGCUGCAUAGAAGACUCCCAAGCAUUAGGGCCAUCAGCAAAUCGAGUAGGUCUUCGAUUACACCCACGAUCAGUCCUUCACGCCAUAUCACAUACAUAGGUUCACUUUAGUCAAGAUUUUAUUUAUGCAUGAGUCAAGAAUGUGCCUCAUAUCAGUUUAUUCUAAUCUAAAGGUCUACCCAUAUACACUCUCUUUGAAGUAAACCUUAGGAUUCCUAAAACCUAGGCUCUGAUACCACUCUGUCACACUCCGAACCCAGCACCUGCGUUGGCCAUGUGACACGAUCACACAAUUCCUAGAGCAGUACCCUAGAGAUCAUGUGAGGCCUAAAAUAAAUAUAAACUUAAAUAUUUUAAAUAACUAGAUAAAUACCAAAUAUAUCACCAAGUCACAUCUCCAAAUCAAAUAGUAAACUUUGUUCAAAUACAAUCAUUCAAAUGUUCAUUGGUAUCAGAAAAUUUAAACUAGAUUAAUUACUAAAAGCUUCAGUUCUUGUCUUCUCUCACCCAACCCAUCUGAACUAAAUAUCCUGUGAGUUUAAAAAAAAACAACAAGGGAGUAUGAGCUUCUUUAGCUCAGUAAAAAUCAUUGCACAUGUACAUCAAAUUAAUGGAUAAAGUAAAAAAUAUAUUAAUAUCAAAAUAAUUUUAUGAAGACUCAUAUAUAUAUAAAAUAACUCAAAUACUGGCAUAAACAUGCAUUUAAUAAAUAAUAAAUCAUCAUAUACCAUCAUGUGAGGUCUUUAUUCAAAAUUAAUUUACAAAAAUCUUAACAUCUAAUUCAUCUUUCUACAACUUCAGUUUGAUAAUCUUUUAUCCUUUUCAGCUUUGGACUAAUCUCAACGAUGCCUCAGUCUCCAUCCGAUCAAAUUUUCACUCAUAAGCUUUUCAAAGCUGUCUCAGGUAUGAGCUCCUGGCCAACUGUUCCAUGUAUGAAAGUCUGUGGGGGACUGUUCCAGAUAUAAGCUCCUGGUGGGCUGUCUCAAGCAUGAGCUCCUAACCGACUAUCUACGUAUAAGCUCGUGGGGGCUAUCCGAGGCAUAAAUUCCUGACAAGCUGUCCCAAGCAUAAGCUCC
This 1091-nucleotide long non-coding RNA is filed under the name Elaeis guineensis (African oil palm). Its description in RNAcentral is "long non-coding RNA (EGUI_LNC080401)". Lineage: Eukaryota; Viridiplantae; Streptophyta; Magnoliopsida; Arecales; Arecaceae. The record is from RNAcentral.